CCUGCCAGAGGUCACUGCUAUCGGUGUUCGACUAAGCCAUGCGAGUCAAAUGUUCUUCGUGAACAUGGCGUACUGCUCAGUAACACGUGGAUAACCUGCCCUUAGGUCUGGCAUAACCCCGGGAAACUGGGGAUAAUUCCGGAUAGAUCAUAGAUGCUGGAAUGCGCUGUGAUCCAAAGCUAUUGUGCCUAAGGAUGGGUCUGCGGUCUAUCAGGUUGUAGUGGGUGUAAUGUACCUACUAGCCUACGACGGAUACGGGUUGUGGGAGCAAGAGCCCGGAGAUGGAUUCUGAGACAUGAAUCCAGGCCCUACGGGGCGCAGCAGGCGCGAAAACUUUACAAUGCGGGGAACCGCGAUAAGGGGACACCGAGUGCCAGCAUCCUAUGUUGGCUGUCCAUAUGUCUAAAUCACAUGUGUUAGCAAGGGCCGGGCAAGACCGGUGCCAGCCGCCGCGGUAACACCGGCGGCCC
This 470-nucleotide ribosomal RNA is filed under the name uncultured archaeon. RNAcentral describes it as "bacterial SSU rRNA". It matches the Rfam family "Archaeal small subunit ribosomal RNA", at positions 13 to 485 of the family's 1478-position model. The record is from RNAcentral.